This 252-nucleotide ribosomal RNA is filed under the name uncultured Bacteroidales bacterium. RNAcentral describes it as "partial 16S ribosomal RNA". It matches the Rfam family "Bacterial small subunit ribosomal RNA", at positions 524 to 776 of the family's 1533-position model. Lineage: Bacteria; Pseudomonadati; Bacteroidota; Bacteroidia; Bacteroidales. The record is from RNAcentral.
UACGGAGGAUGCGAGCGUUAUCCGGAUUUAUUGGGUUUAAAGGGUGCGUAGGCGGUAUGGUAAGUCAGCGGUAAAAGCCCGGGGCUCAACCCCGGCCCGCCGUUGAAACUGGCUGGCUUGAGUUGGGGAAAGGCAGGCGGAAUGCGCGGUGUAGCGGUGAAAUGCAUAGAUAUCGCGCAGAACCCCGAUUGCGAAGGCAGCGUGCCGUGCCGCCACUGACGCUGAGGCACGAAAGCGCGGGGAUCGAACAGG